Molecule: ribosomal RNA, 429 nt
Filed under: uncultured bacterium
Lineage: Bacteria
Description: bacterial SSU rRNA
Rfam family: Bacterial small subunit ribosomal RNA
Source: RNAcentral
GUGGGGAAUAUUGCGCAAUGGAGAAGAACUCUGACGCAGCAAUACCGCGUGAGCGAAGAAGGUCUUCGGAUCGUAAAGCUCUGUUAUCAGGGAAGAAGAAAAUGACGGUACCUGAUGAGCAAGUCCCGGCUAACUACGUGCCAGCAGCCGCGGUAAUACGUAGGGGACAAGCGUUGUCCGGAAUCACUGGGCGUAAAGGGCGCGCAGGCGGUGAUUUAAGCAGGAUGUGAAAGGCUACGGCUCAACCGUAGACAUGCACCCUGAACUGGGUCACUUGAGUAUUGGAGAGGCAGGCAGAAUUCCUGGUGUAGCGGUGAAAUGCGUAGAUAUCAGGAGGAAUACCGGAGGCGAAGGCGGCCUGCUGGACAAAUACUGACGCUGAGGCGCGAAAGCGUGGGGAGCAAACAGGAUUAGAAACCCCAGUAGUCC